Molecule: ribosomal RNA, 168 nt
Filed under: Centropyge argi (cherubfish)
Lineage: Eukaryota; Metazoa; Chordata; Actinopteri; Pomacanthidae
Description: partial small subunit ribosomal RNA
Source: RNAcentral
CACCGCGGUUAUACGAGAGGCCCAAGUUGUUAGACACCGGCGUAAAGCGUGGUUAAGAUAAUCCCUCACUAAAGCCAAACACCUCCCAUACUGUUAUACGUUCACGGAGAUAGGAGACCCAAUCACGAAAGUAGCUUUACAAAAUCUGAACCCACGAAAGCUAGGGAA